AUUGAACGCUGGCGGCAGGCCUAACACAUGCAAGUCGAGCGAGCGGCGGACGGGUGAGUAAUGUCUGGGAAACUGCCUGAUGGAGGGGGAUAACUACUGGAAACGGUAGCUAAUACCGCAUACCAUCAGAUGUGCCCAGAUGGGAUUAGCUGGUAGGUGGGGUAACGGCUCACCUAGGCGACGAUCCCUAGCUGGUCUGAGAGGAUGACCAGCCAACAUGGAACGUGGCAACGGUCCCGACCCCUUCGGGAGGGCGGAGUGGGGAAUAUUGCACAAUGGGGGCAAGCCCGAUGCAGCCCUGGCGGGGGUGUGAAGAAGGCCUUCGGGUUGUAAAACACUUUCAGCGGGGAGGCGUUAACCGCAGAAGAAGCACCGGCUAACUCCGUGCCAGCAGCCGCGGUAAUAC
This 406-nucleotide ribosomal RNA is filed under the name uncultured bacterium. RNAcentral describes it as "partial 16S ribosomal RNA". It matches the Rfam family "Bacterial small subunit ribosomal RNA", at positions 29 to 526 of the family's 1533-position model. The record is from RNAcentral.